RNAcentral lists this non-coding RNA (25 nucleotides) under Rattus norvegicus (Norway rat). The record is from RNAcentral. Lineage: Eukaryota; Metazoa; Chordata; Mammalia; Rodentia; Muridae.
UGCCUGCCUACAGCCUCAACUCGCC